GCCUGCAUGGUCUAGUGGUAAGAUCCUCCGUUCGGGUGUUAACAUCGGAGGGGUCCCCAGUUCGAUCCCGGGUGCAGGCC
Non-coding RNA from Dacryopinax primogenitus, 80 nucleotides. The record is from the annotation of a RefSeq genome assembly. NCBI's taxonomy places the organism in Eukaryota, Fungi, Basidiomycota, Dacrymycetes, Dacrymycetales, Dacrymycetaceae.